This 307-nucleotide unclassified non-coding RNA is filed under the name plant metagenome. Its description in RNAcentral is "partial contains 5.8S ribosomal RNA, internal transcribed spacer 2, and large subunit ribosomal RNA". The stretch from base 1 to 105 matches the Rfam family "5.8S ribosomal RNA", at positions 50 to 154 of the family's 154-position model. The record is from RNAcentral.
GAAAUGCGAUAAGUAAUGUGAAUUGCAGAAUUCAGUGAAUCAUCGAAUCUUUGAACGCACAUUGCGCCCGCCAGCACUCUGGCGGGCAUGCCUGUUCGAGCGUCAUUUCAACCCUCAGAACCCCUUGCGGGAUCUGGCGUUGGGGAUUGGCAUCCAGCCAGCCCCGAAAUCUAGUGGCGGUCCCUCCGCGACCUCCCCUGUGCAGUAGCAAUACCUCGCAGCGGGACAGCGGUCUGACCACGCCGUAAAACCCCCAACAUCUCAAGGUUGACCUCGAAUCAGGUAGGAAUACCCGCUGAACUUAAGC